UUUGUGGUCGAGUUAUGUAGUAGUUGCCAGAUGUGAUACGAAUACGCGAUGGAGAUGGCUCGACAGAUUUUUGUUUCGUAACGACCAGAACUUUGAUAAAUGGGCAUAGCUCAACAAUGGUCUCCAGAAAGAAGUUCCAAUGUGCAUUUCAAAGUAGAAACAACAGAGCGCAUUACUUUCUUGUGCCCCUUACUGAGGACACGGAUCGCGGUCAACCCCUUCAGCACCACCACCAGAUACAAUCUUAGCAAAAGUCCAUGUACUUUAAAAAAGAUGGGGGUGGAGUUUGACUAGAGACACCCGCGUCCUCCAGCGUACUCUAAUGACAGCAUAUAGCGUCUUUCGGCACGUGCGUCGUGACCAACCAGUCUCACAUGUGAUGCAGCAAACAGGGCUCAAAUGCUCACCCAUCUGUAAAGUAAACUGGUGGGAAUGUGUUGUUGAAGCAGCUCCUGGUGAAGAAGCUGGUGAUCGCGCCUUUGCCUUGAAGACGUUGAGGUGCUCAAGCCCAUCUGAGGAGGUUGAACCGCGCUCUUCCAAUUAGGAGAGAAUAACGACAAUAACCAGGAUGAUAAUUAAUUUUCACAACUUUCUUACACUCAAUCAUGUGCACGAAAACCGUAGAGUUCUUAAACCAAGAUUCAGGUCAAAUAUAUAUUUUUUAUGUAAAUCUACUCUGCAAUGGCAUUGAGUUCCACAGUUUUGUUCAUUUAUGUUAUAAUACAUCACUGUUCACCGUGCGAACACAUACAUGCAUAAUGGAUCCGUAAAAAUUAAAGUCUCGCAGCCUGCUUGCAAUAAAUCGUUAAAUAAAGUAUGUAUUUCGA
Molecule: long non-coding RNA, 827 nt
Organism: Photinus pyralis (common eastern firefly)
Lineage: Eukaryota; Metazoa; Arthropoda; Insecta; Coleoptera; Lampyridae
Exons: 2
Source: RefSeq, a predicted model, not a curated record